Molecule: ribosomal RNA, 492 nt
Filed under: uncultured bacterium
Lineage: Bacteria
Description: partial 16S ribosomal RNA
Rfam family: Bacterial small subunit ribosomal RNA
Source: RNAcentral
AGUGAACGCUGGCGGUAGGCCUAACACAUGCAAGUCGAACGGCAGCACAGUAAGAGCUUGCUCUUACGGGUGGCGAGUGGCGGACGGGUGAGGAAUACAUCGGAAUCUACUUUUUCUUGGGGGAUAACGUAGGGAAACUUACGCUAAUACCGCAUACGACGUACGGGUGAAAGCAGGGGAUCUUCGGACCUUGCGCGAUUGAAUGAGCCGAUGUCGGAUUAGCUAGUUGGCGGGGUAAAGGCCCACCAAGGCGACGAUCCGUAGCUGGUCUGAGAGGAUGAUCAGCCACACUGGAACUGAGACACGGUCCAGACUCCUACGGGAGGCAGCAGUGGGGAAUAUUGGGCAAUGGGCGCAAGCCUGAUCCAGCCAUACCGCGUGGGUGAAGAAGGCCUUCGGAUUGUAAAGCCCUUUUGUUGGGAAAGAAAAGCAGCAGGUUAAUACCUCGCUGUUCUGACGGUACCCAAAGAAUAAGCACCGGCUAACUUCGUG